CCUACGGGGGGCUGCAGUGGGGAAUAUUGGACAAUGGGGGCAACCCUGAUCCAGCCAUGCCGCGUGUGUGAAGAAGGCCCUCGGGUUGUAAAGCACUUUCAGUGAGGAAGAACGCCUGGUGGUUAAUACCCAUCAGGAAAGACAUCACUCACAGAAGAAGCACCGGCUAACUCCGUGCCAGCAGCCGCGGUAAUACGGAGGGUGCGAGCGUUAAUCGGAAUUACUGGGCGUAAAGCGCGCGUAGGUGGCUUGAUAAGCCGGUUGUGAAAGCCCCGGGCUCAACCUGGGAACGGCAUCCGGAACUGUCAAGCUAGAGUGCAGGAGAGGAAGGUAGAAUUGCCAGUGUAGCGGUGAAAUGCGUAGAUAUCGGGAGGAAUACCAGUAGCGAAGGCGGCCUUCUGGACUGACACUGACACUGAGGUGCGAAAGCGUGGGUAGCAAACAGGAUUAGAUACCCCGGUAGUC
This 465-nucleotide ribosomal RNA is filed under the name Vreelandella stevensii. RNAcentral's name for it is "partial 16S ribosomal RNA". It matches the Rfam family "Bacterial small subunit ribosomal RNA", at positions 338 to 795 of the family's 1533-position model. Lineage: Bacteria; Pseudomonadati; Pseudomonadota; Gammaproteobacteria; Oceanospirillales; Halomonadaceae. The record is from RNAcentral.